GACGAACGCUGGCGGCGUGCCUAAUACAUGCAAGUCGAGCGCAGGAAACUGACGGAACUCUUCGGAGGGAAGGCAGUGGAAUGAGCGGCGGACGGGUGAGUAACACGUAAGGAACCUGCCUCAAGGAUUGGGAUAACUCCGAGAAAUCGGAGCUAAUACCGGAUAGUUCAACGGACCGCAUGGUCCGCUGAUGAAAGGCGCUCCGGCGUCACCUUGAGAUGGCCUUGCGGUGCAUUAGCUAGUUGGUGGGGUAACGGCCCACCAAGGCGACGAUGCAUAGCCGGCCUGAGAGGGUGAUCGGCCACACUGGGACUGAGACACGGCCCAGACUCCGACGGGAGGCAGCAGUAGGGAAUCUUCCACAAUGGACGAAAGUCUGAUGGAGCAACGCCGCGUGAGUGAUGAAGGUUUUCGGAUCGUAAAACUCUGUUGUAAGGGAAGAACACGUACGAGAGGGAAUGCUCGUACCUUGACGGUACCUUACGAGAAAGCCACGGCUAACUACGUGCCAGCCGCCGCAGUAA
This 524-nucleotide ribosomal RNA is filed under the name uncultured bacterium. Its description in RNAcentral is "partial 16S ribosomal RNA". It matches the Rfam family "Bacterial small subunit ribosomal RNA", at positions 28 to 523 of the family's 1533-position model. The record is from RNAcentral.